GAUGAACGCUGGCGGCGUGCCUAAUACAUGCAAGUCGAGCGAACAGACGAGGAGCUUGCUCCUCUGACGUUAGCGGCGGACGGGUGAGUAACACGUGGAUAACCUACCUAUAAGACUGGGAUAACUUCGGGAAGCCGGAGCUAAUACCGGAUAAUAUAUUGAACCGCAUGGUUCAAUAGUGAAAGACGGUUUUGCUGUCACUUAUAGAUGGAUCCGCGCCGCAUUAGCUAGUUGGUAAGGUAACGGCUUACCAAGGCGACGAUGCGUAGCCGACCUGAGAGGGUGAUCGGCCACACUGGAACUGAGACACGGUCCAGACUCCUACGGGAGGCAGCAGUAGGGAAUCUUCCGCAAUGGGCGAAAGCCUGACGGAGCAACGCCGCGUGAGUGAUGAAGGUCUUCGGAUCGUAAAACUCUGUUAUUAGGGAAGAACAAAUGUGUAAGUAACUAUGCACGUCUUAACGGUACCUAAUCAGAAAGCCACGGCUAACUACGUG
RNAcentral lists this ribosomal RNA (497 nucleotides) under uncultured bacterium. Its description in RNAcentral is "partial 16S ribosomal RNA". It matches the Rfam family "Bacterial small subunit ribosomal RNA", at positions 28 to 507 of the family's 1533-position model. The record is from RNAcentral.